AUGAUAUGGAUAGAAGAUAUUUGAUCAUUAGUAUAAAGAUGUAUCAGAAGUUGACAUAUUAGAAUUGUUUAGGAUUUUUAUAAUAUUUGAGAUCUACCGAUUGGAAUAAGGUGAAUUUUGACAUAAUAAGUCGAGGACUUAAAAGCAGAGCUGCACACAAAGUAUGAAUGAGAAUUAAAGGUCAGAGAAGGAAAAAUUGGUAGUUAAAGUUCGUCAUU
Molecule: long non-coding RNA, 218 nt
Filed under: Physcomitrium patens
Lineage: Eukaryota; Viridiplantae; Streptophyta; Bryopsida; Funariales; Funariaceae
Description: long non-coding RNA (PPAT_LNC001393)
Source: RNAcentral